RNAcentral lists this transfer RNA (16 nucleotides) under Urtica thunbergiana subsp. dentata. RNAcentral describes it as "partial tRNA-Ser". Lineage: Eukaryota; Viridiplantae; Streptophyta; Magnoliopsida; Rosales; Urticaceae. The record is from RNAcentral.
CAUCAGCCAUCUCUCC